ACACAAAUUCAAAGAUAAAUCCUUUUCAAACCCUAAUAAAAAGACGCAUCCCCUUUUCAAACCCUUAUAAAAAGUCGAAGAUAGAGAGAGAUUCUGCACAUAUCAACGAUCUAUUCACAAACAUAGAGAGAGAUAGAUGUUGAGAAAAAUUAUUAGUUCCUGGUGGUGUAAAGCAUCUUUGUAUGUGCACGAGCCCGCUAUUCGUCGUGCCUACGAGGUUCUGAGAACGCAUCCCCAUGUCCGAGUCGUUCAUGUUUCAUCAACAAGUCUUUCUAUGAGAUUGCUCGCAGCCUCGUGGAUUGUUUUAGCUUCCACAUUACUGAUCGCAGAAGUUAUAAUCCCACGCAGAAAUAAAAUUGCACAUGAAGACGAAUUUUGGGCAAGCGUCUUGGAAAACGAUACUGUUGGUGGCGAGUCGGUGUCAAGAGGCGAGAAAGAAUUUAAGAAGAAUCAAUACUUUUCUUGAUAUAUCUAAUUUGUUUGAAUCAGGCCAACUAAUAUAUUAUUGAACAUGGUUGAAUUUGAACUCGUAUCCAUGAGCACUUUAAUGCA
This is a long non-coding RNA of Daucus carota subsp. sativus, 552 nucleotides long. RefSeq lists it as uncharacterized. NCBI's taxonomy places the organism in Eukaryota, Viridiplantae, Streptophyta, Magnoliopsida, Apiales, Apiaceae. The record is from RefSeq and is a predicted model, not a curated record. The transcript has 3 exons.